Molecule: transfer RNA, 104 nt
Organism: Plicaturopsis crispa FD-325 SS-3
Lineage: Eukaryota; Fungi; Basidiomycota; Agaricomycetes; Amylocorticiales; Amylocorticiaceae
Rfam family: tRNA
About the family: Transfer RNA (tRNA) molecules are approximately 80 nucleotides in length. Their secondary structure includes four short double-helical elements and three loops (D, anti-codon, and T loops).
Source: Rfam
GCCCGACUAGCUCAAUCGGCUAGAGCGUCAGACUUUUACGAUGUCUUGACUUUGUCGGGUAGAUCGCCAUCUGAAGGCUGCGAGUUCGACCCUCGCGUUGGGCU